This is a non-coding RNA of Tinamus guttatus (white-throated tinamou), 273 nucleotides long. Lineage: Eukaryota; Metazoa; Chordata; Aves; Tinamiformes; Tinamidae. The record is from RefSeq and is a predicted model, not a curated record.
AGGGCAACCUCGUGGCCGUGAAGCACCUCAACCACAAGCGCAUCGAGCUGACGCGCAAGGUCCUCUUCGAGCUGAAGCACAUGCGGGAUGUGCAGAACGAGCACCUGACCCGCUUCAUCGGCGCCUGCACCGACCCCCCCAACAUCUGCAUCCUCACUGAGUACUGCCCCCGCGGGAGCCUGCAGGACAUCCUGGAGAACGAGAGCAUCACUCUGGACUGGAUGUUCCGCUACUCCCUCACCCACGACAUCGUCAAGGUACCGAGGACGCUGG